UUCCAGCUCCAAUAGCGUAUAUUUUAGUUGUUGCAGUUAAAAAGCUCGUAGUUGAAUUUCUGGUGGGAAGAUGCGGACGGCCUCAUGGCUUGUUCCAAGUCUUCCGGCCAUCCUUGGGUGGAGCUCGUCUGGCAUUAAGUUGUCGGGCGGGGGAUGCCCAUCGUUUACUGUGAAAAAAUUAAAGUGUUCAAAGCAGACUUAUGUCGUUGAAUAUAUUAGCAUGGAAUAAUAAGAUAGGACAGCAGUGCUAUUUUGUUGGUUUGCGCACCGUUGUAAUGAUGAAUAGGGACAGUUGUGGGUAUUUAUAUUCACUUGUAAGAGGUGAAAUUCUUAGAUUAAGGGAAGAUAAACUACUGCGAAAGCAUUUACCAAGGAUGUUUUCAUUG
Molecule: ribosomal RNA, 386 nt
Filed under: Chaetoceros sp.
Lineage: Eukaryota; Bacillariophyta; Thalassiosirophyceae; Chaetocerotales; Chaetocerotaceae
Description: partial small subunit ribosomal RNA
Rfam family: Eukaryotic small subunit ribosomal RNA
Source: RNAcentral